Molecule: ribosomal RNA, 350 nt
Filed under: uncultured Acidobacteriota bacterium
Lineage: Bacteria; Pseudomonadati; Acidobacteriota
Description: bacterial SSU rRNA
Rfam family: Bacterial small subunit ribosomal RNA
Source: RNAcentral
CAGAACGAACGCUGGCUCCGUGCCUCAGACAUGCAAGUCGAACGCGAAAGUCCCCUUCGGGGGACAAGUAGAGUGGCGCACGGGUGAGUAACACGUAGGUAAUCUACCUUUGGAUUGGGAAUAACCACCGGAAACGGUGGCUAAUACCGAAUAAUGCAGCGGCACCUAAUGGUGACAGUUGUUAAAGCGGGGGAUCGCAAGACCUCGCGUCUGAAGAGGAGCCUGCGGCAGAUUAGCUAGUUGGUAAGGUAACGGCUUACCAAGGCGAUGAUCUGUAGCCGGCCUGAGAGGGCGGUCGGCCACACUGACACUGACAUACGGGUCAGACUCCUACGGGAGGCAGCAGUGGG